UGAGGAAUUUUCCGCAAUGGGUGAAAGCCUGACGGAGCAAUGCCGCGUGGAGGAAGAAUGCCUUCGGGUUGUAAACUCCUUUUCUCAUAGAAGAAAAAUGACGGUAUAUGAAGAAUAAGCAUCGGCUAAUUCCGUGCCAGCAGCCGCGGUAAUACGGGAGAUGCAAGCGUUAUCCGGAAUUAUUGGGCGUAAAGAGUUUGUAGGUGGUUUAGUGUGUUUAAUGUUAAAGAUCAAAGCUCAACUUUGAAGUUGCAUUAAAAACUACUAGACUAGAGUAUGGUAGGGGCAUAGGGAAUUUCCAGUGUAGCGGUGAAAUGCGUAGAGAUUGGAAAGAACGCCAAAAGCGAAGGCACUUAGCUAGGCCUAUACUGACACUGAGAAACGAAAGCUGAGGGAGCAA
This 400-nucleotide ribosomal RNA is filed under the name uncultured bacterium. RNAcentral describes it as "bacterial SSU rRNA". It matches the Rfam family "Bacterial small subunit ribosomal RNA", at positions 355 to 771 of the family's 1533-position model. The record is from RNAcentral.